Lynx canadensis (Canada lynx) is the source of this 4790-nucleotide long non-coding RNA. RefSeq lists it as uncharacterized. The transcript is spliced from 2 exons. The record is from RefSeq and is a predicted model, not a curated record. NCBI's taxonomy places the organism in Eukaryota, Metazoa, Chordata, Mammalia, Carnivora, Felidae.
GGCUGCGAGGGAGGAGGCCGGCACCGGUCAGAGCUCUGGAGGCCAGCCGCCUCCCGGAGACCUUCGGGAGGAGCCCCCUGCUGUCCCCGCCUCCCUGUCCCGAGCUCGCCCCGGACGUCUCUCGGAAGAGAGCUUAACAACACAAAAUGGGCAAAGGAUCUAACGGAUAUUUCUUCAAGGAAGAUAUACAAAUGACCAAUAAACACAUGUAAAGAUACCCGACAUCAUUAGCUAUCAAGGAAAUGCAAAGCAAAACCACAAUGAUGCCGCUUUAUACCCACAAAGCUGGCUACAGUAAAAAAAGAUAGUAACAAGCCUUAGCGAAGAUGUGAAAAGUUGGAACCCUCAUACACUGCUGGUGAGAAUGUAAAUUUCCUCAUUGGAGAACAGUUUGGCAAUUCCUCGAAAGGUUAAACAUACGGUUACCAUAAGACUUAUAAAUUGUAGGCAUAUACCGCAUGAAACUUCUACACAAAUGUUCAUAGCAGCACUGGUUCAUAAAAGCUCCAAAGUGGAAACCCAAAUGUCCAUCAACUACUGAAUGGAUAAAGAAACUGUGGAAUAACCACGCCAUGGAAUGUUAUUCAGCCAUAAGAAGGAAUGAAGUCCUGAUUCAUCCAUUCAGCGUGGAUUCGCCUGAAAAACAUGCUCAGUGAGAGAAGCCAGUCACAAAAGACUGUAUCUUGUACUUACGUGAGAUGCCCAGAAAAAGGCAGACGUAUAAAGCCAAAAUGUAGAUUAGUGGUUGUCUAGGGCCUGGGGGGUCAUGGGGACAUGGGGAGUGGCUGCCAAGGGGUGUGGGGUUUCUUUUUAAGGAGAUGAGAUGUUGUAAAAUUACUUCCGGCUCUGUGAAUAUACUAAACAGCAUUAACUUGUACACUUUAAGCAGGUGAAUUACACGGUAUGUGAAUUAUAUGCCAAUAAAACUGUCAUUAAAAGAGGGGACUGGAGCUGGCUCCUCCCUAACCCUAUGUACCAGAAGCCCGAUCACUUUGAAUCCUAGGCUAGCAUGUUGUGCACCCAGACUUGGAAGUGAAUUUGUUUUAAGCCCACAGGCUGGCCUGCACACCAGGCCCCGGGAAACUUGGGCCCCACUCCCCCCAGAAUGGCACAGGGGGUACCAGGGCCUCCCAAAUUCCCAGAGAGAAAAAAUGUAGUAACUCCAGGAAACAUGCUUAAAACCCCCAAGGCACGGCCUCUCGUGGAAGCAGUCUGCUGCUGUUAGCCUCACCUGUGCUGGUUAUUGGUGGGGAGAAGAGGGGACAUUGGGGGGUGCACAGUGUAGGCCAAACAGGGCUCCGGGUACCUUUUCUGCCUCCCUUCAGCUAAGGACUGAACUGUGUUCCCCCAAAUGAAUACGGUGAAGCCCUAACCCCCAAUAUGAUGGCAUCUGGGGAUCCGUCUUGGGGGGCUUAGAUGAGGUCACGAGGUGGAGCCCUCAUGAUGGAAUUCGUGCCCUUAUGAGAGGACACACCAGGGAUCAUGUUGACUCUCUCUCUCUCUCUCUCUCUCUGCCAUGUGAAGACACAGUGACAAGGCAGUCACCCACAAGCCAGGAAGAGUGCUGUCAUCAGAACCCAACCAUGCUGGCAACCAGACCUCGGACCUCCAGCCUCCAGAACUGUGAGAAAGUGAACGUCUGUUGUUUAAGCCCCCAGGCUAUGCUAUUUUGGUGCGACGGCCCGAUCUGGGUAUCUUCCGUUCCCAUGUGGCCCUGGGGAUGGCCAAAGCCAGUAUCCACAGGCUGGGCCAGGACCCACUGCCACCAAAAGGAUACUGCUGCAGCUUCUGCCGCUGGUCCAUGGAGCCCGAGUGGUGGAUGAUCUUGCGCAGGCCCUGCACCCAGUGCCGGGCGUCAGCUGGCGAUGGGGCGAUGAGGUCUAGUGUAUUGCGCUGGUCCUUGAAGACGAUGGAGAAGCAGCGGUCCUCGGGCACAUCGCGGGCAUACUUCUCCAGGCCCUCCGUGCGGUGCCCCAUCCGCACCUCCUGAAUGUCCUCAAUGGAGACUGCAAAAAGGGGACAGGUGGCAGAGGGAGCUGCGAGGCCAGUCCCUGCCCCCGAUGCGCCCAAGGCACAGCGUAGGGGCCGGUAGAGCCGGGGCUGGAGCUCUACGAUCCAGAGACAAGGAGAGGGACAGGAGGACAGAUGAGGCGGCACAGAAGGGAGGAAGGAGGCCAGAGACUGAGGUGUUGGAAGAACGUGAGACACAACUGUGGUGUGCAGCGGAUACGCACAGGGAGGGACAGAGGGAGAGGCCGACCUCAGAGAGGGGCACCUGGGACCCCAGCCCGGCUCUUUCUGGACCGGGAGGGUGUAGGACCCCUGGGAGAGCACUGGGGCCGGACAGGGCUUUUAGAGAUGGGGGAGACCAUCUGGAGCUUGGAGCCUGCGACAGACAGGAGGCCACAAACCCUCCUCAUUGCCCUUGACUUUGUACCGUCUUCCCCUCAGACGGCCAUGAGAGCCUCCAGGCCCCUCUCCUGACCAUCCAGGAGGCAGAAGCCAUCAUGGCCCUGGGGUGUGGGUGCAGAGGGAGAAGUGCUUGCGUUGGAGCGUAGGCAGGGCCUUGCCCUGCAUGUGUCUGUGUGUGUCCUGACCUCAGAGAACCCCUUGGCAAGGAGGGUGCAGGAAGGCCGUGGCCCUCUAGGACCCCAAGGGGUGCCCCUUAGGAGUCUGAGGGAGUACACCAUUCUGUCCUCAGAAGCUGGGGGGAAAGGCCUUCCGUCACAUUCAAGCCCUCCAAGCUUCAGGGAGCAGCAAGCCCCUGCCUCCCUGCUACCCCCAGUGUGUCCUCCCUGGCCUGGCCGUGAGCCAGUCCCACCAGCUGGGCUCACGCUAAGCUGCCCAGCAUCAAGGUUCAGGCGCUGCCCCUGCCCCACCCGCGUCCUGAGCCAUCCACAUUCAUCUGUCUCGGGUCCUAGACCAGCUCUGGCUACAAGCUCACCUCUCCUCCCGGUGCCUGCCUGCACCCUGAGUGCCCAGACGCCUCCCAGCCACCUACCUACAAGCCCUAGGUGUAUGACAUGUGCCCCCACCUGGGCAGCAGGCUCUGAUGGCCAGACACGUGAGCCCUAGGCCAUCUGGGGUGCUGGGGGUACCUGCGCUUAAUCCCUCUGCCCACGGCCUCCUGUGCCGGCGAGGCUCACCCCAGCGGCAGGCAGCUGACCCAGGCUGGGGUGACAACAGGAAACCUGAGCUGUGGAGCUGGGCCAGCACCCCCACCCGCACCAGAGAGAGAUUCCAGAUGCCUCCGCUGCUGAUAAUGCCUUGUCCGCCUCUGGGAGCCAGAGUGGGGGGAGUGUGGUAGUGGAAGGGUCAGGGGAAACUUAGCAGGAAGCAGAGGCAGAGAGAACUGGGGGCGCUGCUCCCCUCCUCCCUCACCUGGCCUCAGCUUCCCCGAGGACAGAGCGCAUUUGGGGCCAACAGUCUCGCUGCUCACCCAGAGGAGGGAAGCAGCCAACACGGGUGCUCAGCCCGAGAGCUGUCUCGGUGUCUCUGUCACGGAAGAGAGCCUCUUCUAGCCAUGUUCCUCACCUGAGCACACCUGGUGCCUGACCCCCCACCUGUCACCCCUGCAGCCCCUCUGCCCAGGCCCCUCACUUGUGCCCCUUCCUCGUUCUCCCCUCUGUGUCUUUGCUCACGCUGGUCUCCGGCCUGGGACGCCCCUCCUGCCCUCGUGUUCACAGCUGUCCCAGGAUGAGGGGCUCGUCUCCCCAGCCCAGGUCCCCUACCCCUGUCUCCGCCCACCGCCACCAAGUGCUGGGCACACAAGUGUACUGGCUGCUGUGCGGGCUCUCGGGAAUCCCCAGGGCUCAGAGAACAAGAUGCCCCGUUCCCACCAUGCCGCCCGCCCCCCCCCCCCCCCAGCAUCUAACAGGAAGCCCCAUAUCAGGGCAGAGGCCGAUGAAGGAGACUGGCUGGUGCCACGGACAGGAAAGGUCUGGGUCGCUUCCAUGCUGUGCGGCUGAUGUGCACUCGGGUGGUUUUUUGAGAGACUUCAGGCUCCAUCCGUUCCAAGCCGACCCUGCCCUGCUCAGAAACCCGGGGCCCAUAGCCCCAAGGCCCUAGCCCAGCUCCCCAUCCGACCCUGCUUCUGCCCCGCCUCACCUCGGGCCCUGCUACAGGCCACAGGGCCAGCAGGCCAUACUUUCUCAGCUUACUACCUCAGUUUCCCGAGGCCGGCAAACCCUCCCUGGGCACCCUCAGCGGGCAGGCCCUCCGCUUCCUGCUGUCCCCCCUCCCACCCCGGGCCUGUCGCCCGUGUCUGAUCUCACUCCCAGCCGACUGACCCUGUCUCCGUGUGCCCCCUCCCCCACCCUGCCACUGCCACAGCCAAAGGCAGGGAUCUGGGUUGUGUGGAAUCCAACGGCAGCGAUCUUCCUGCGCGGUCCAACACAACAGUCACCCGCCGCAUGUGGCUAUUUAGAUAUAAAUUAGUUAAAAUUCAGUAGAAUUAAGAAUUCAGUUCCUUAGUCACCCCAGCCACGUUGCCAGUGCCUGAUGGCCAUAGGUAGCCGGUGGACCUCUACUGGACAGCACAGAUCUGGAACAUUCCUGUUACCAAAGACAGUUUUUUUGGGGUAGCACUGAUCUAAAAAUUUCCCACCACGUAAAGAUGCGGAGGGGAACACUCGUGUUGCAGAGCCUUUAGGGCAUUCUGUGUUAAGAGGUAGCUGUCUCUGUGAGGGCUUGCUGGAGGCGCUCUCCGUUUACAGGCCUGAGGCUUGGGUUCCUGGGCCUUUUCAGAAGCUGCCAGAAAACCCUCAGGCCCAACACCCUCAAGGGAACUG